Sphaerodactylus townsendi is the source of this 145-nucleotide long non-coding RNA. RefSeq lists it as uncharacterized. The record is from RefSeq and is a predicted model, not a curated record. NCBI's taxonomy places the organism in Eukaryota, Metazoa, Chordata, Lepidosauria, Squamata, Sphaerodactylidae. The transcript is spliced from 3 exons.
UGAAGUGUGAUGUUAAAUGUUGAUGUUUGAUGUUAUAUGUUAAGAAAGUAAACCAUUUUGUUUUUAAAAAUUGUUGUUGCAAACUCAUUCCAAGUUCGCCCCACAGAACCUACAGAUAGAGGCUACAUUAAAAUACUAAUUGUAG